Molecule: transfer RNA, 68 nt
Filed under: Hyosciurus heinrichi (montane long-nosed squirrel)
Lineage: Eukaryota; Metazoa; Chordata; Mammalia; Rodentia; Sciuridae
Description: tRNA-Thr
Source: RNAcentral
GCCCUAAUAGUAUAACCAUUACCUUGGYCUUGUAARCCAAUAAUGAAGANCUCAAACCUUCUUAGGGC